UUCCGAAAUAAAUGAAAUAAAGAUACACAUACUGUUUCUAUAGGAACACAUAUAUGUAUCAUUUUCACAUCAAAUAGUGUAUUUGAAUACAAACAACAUAAUAUUUCUGUAAAAAUCUGAAAAUGUCAAAAUAUUGGACAUGUAAAAUAAAAUUAGUACGAAAACCUUCAACAAACUGUCAGAAUCGACGAUGAAUCAAUUAUUAUUGCCGACGUAUAUGAAAUAUGACAACGGCUCGGUGCUUUGAACUGUCUUGUGGGAUUUGAAGUAUAGAUCACUGCGUUCUAACUACAACUGACGUAAUUAAUCAAGAGACUCGAAUUGUUAAGAUUGGUUAAAACGCAUCCAAUAAUAGUAAUAAAAAUAAAUAUAUUCUAUAUCCAAUAGAAAAAUAGUAUAAAAAGUCAACAGUUCCCUGAUUGGCUGUAUGAUGCGAAACCCUACAGAAUGUUGUUGUUUAAUAUUCAUUAUUAUUGUUUUUCAUUUAACGUCAUUAUAAUAUUAUUAUAUAAUGUA
Long non-coding RNA from Aphis gossypii (cotton aphid), 516 nucleotides. RefSeq lists it as uncharacterized. The transcript has 2 exons. NCBI's taxonomy places the organism in Eukaryota, Metazoa, Arthropoda, Insecta, Hemiptera, Aphididae. The record is from RefSeq and is a predicted model, not a curated record.